CAAUAGCGUAUAUUUAAGUUGUUGCAGUUAAAAAGCUCGUAGUUGGAUUUCGGGUGGGACGCAGCGGUCUCGCAUUGCGUUUGUACUGCUGCAGCCCUCCUUCUUGCCGGGGGCGGCCUCUCGGACUUCACUGUCUGGGGGUCAGAAUCGGCGAUGUUACUUUGAGUAAAUUAGAGUGUUCAAAGCAAGCUUACGCUCUGAAUAUAAUAGCAUGGGAUAACACGACAGGACCCUGGCCUAUCGUGUUGGUCUAUAGGACCAGAGUAAUGAUUAAGAGGGACAGUCGGGGGCAUUCGUAUUCCGUUGUCAGAGGUGAAAUUCUUGGAUUUACGGAAGACGAACAUCUGCGAAAGCAUUUGCCAAGGAUGUUUUCAUUGA
RNAcentral lists this ribosomal RNA (378 nucleotides) under uncultured eukaryote. RNAcentral describes it as "partial 18S ribosomal RNA". It matches the Rfam family "Eukaryotic small subunit ribosomal RNA", at positions 592 to 976 of the family's 1831-position model. The record is from RNAcentral.